UGGGUUCUGAGGUUUGAAAAGACAGAACGCCAGCGUGGGAUCCAUCCAGCCGCCAGUGCAUCCAUCCAAACCACAAACCGAGAGCAAGGCGGAGGAAAAGAGAGAAAGAGAAGGGAAAAAAAAAAACAAUAAGCACGGAGGAAAUGAGAAAAAAAGCCGAAGAAAUUAAGAGAUUGCGAGUCGGAUCUUUCCUCUCUUUCCCCCGUAGGUAUUUCGUCUAUCUGGCGAGAGUGAGAUGAGUGAGUGUCAGCGAGUGUUGGCAGGUUGGCUGCUAGCUUGCUUAUAGAAACAGAGUCAGUUCGCAGCGCUGAGCGGUGGGCGAGUGAAA
Molecule: long non-coding RNA, 328 nt
Organism: Thalassophryne amazonica
Lineage: Eukaryota; Metazoa; Chordata; Actinopteri; Batrachoidiformes; Batrachoididae
Exons: 2
Source: RefSeq, a predicted model, not a curated record